AGUCAAGAGUGUGCCUUCUGAGCCAGAGAUACAGUGUUUCCAAAGAGUCCCACCCUUCCUUAAAAUGGUCAAAGGAUUUCAACUAAACAAACUGAGACAUACAACCUGAGAAGAGUUAAAAGGAAACAGAAUAUCCCGUCAGUCAAAAUCACCUGCAGUAUCAGGACUUCAUGACACAUGACAGGUGGGCUUUCUCGCUGCAACCAUCGAUAUAAAUACUCAUGAUUGGCUGUAUUUACAGGGCCUUUUCAGCCUCCUGUUGGUUUCAAACACAAAGAGAAAUGGUCUCUCUUGCCUGUGCCUUGUCUGAUCAGCCAGAGAAGCCAUGGAAGACCCUCUCUGAGCUCUGCUGGAAGAUGAUUUCCAGUGGAUAUAGGACAGUUCUGGCUGGAAAGGGGCUUGAGUGCUGUGACAGGUGGUGGCGUCUGUCAUUAGGAUGUGAGAGACCCCAGUGAAGGAAGCAUAGAGGGGCCAGCAUUUGGGUUGAUGAACCACACACCAUGGUGGCGUGUGCUCAGAUAGGCCAGGCAGUUGUCCCCUUGUGGUUUAAGCUUAUCGAACUGCAUAACAAUAAAUUCCUAUCAUCAAAUUCCCUAGCUUUCUCCCAGUGCACGUGGAGGUAUGUAUCCUUCCAAGCCAGUGGCGAUAUUUGGUAGGUAGACCCAGCUAGUGUACUUGGUUGUAGAGAACUGGUACACGUGCCUCUGCAGACACCCAGAAGAAUGCCUAGGGAAAAUGUCCCAUGCUGUGUGAUUCUGUCUUCAUGGCUUUCUGGAGCCUCUAGUCAGUUGUUCCAUGAGACUCCUAUCAAGCUACUACAUGUCCAACAAAAUUAUAUCGAUGAAGAACAGGAAGACACUCUGCCUUAGGGCUCUCAUCCUAAAACAGCACAUGACCCCGAGGAUAGUUGUUAGGAGCAGUAGUGAAGUGGCCCACACCAUACCCAGGCACCUUGCCAUGCUGUGCAUUUACUGAGUAUUUGCUAUGGAGGAGGGCUAAGGGACUUGCAGCCUCAAAGAGGGCACCAAGAUUUUUAAACCAAUAAGAGUGUUUUUGAUGCAAUGACCAACCUUCAUUGUGAACCUGACACAUAUGAGAAGAGCGACUGUCAUCUGAAGAACUGACCUUCAUCGGAUUGACCUGGAAGGAUGUCUGGAAGAGCAUUUUCUCAAUUGCUAUUGAUGCCGAGGGCCCAGCCCGCUAUGGGCACCCAGUCUUAGGCGGUAUAAGUUCCUGAACAUAAGCUGGGGAGCAAGCCAGUAGGCAGCACUCCUCUAUGGUUUCUGUUCAGUCCUUGCUUGAAUUUCUGCUCCGACUUCCUUCAGUGAUAGGGUGUAGCCCCGAAUUAGAAGGCAAAGAAACCCUUUCUUCCCCAGGUGUUUUUUGUCUGGUGUUUAUGACAGCAACCUCAAGCAAGCUGAAAUAUCCCCCAUUGUUUGUCUUAAUAGUUAUUCUAUUUCCAUACGGCUUCUGCCAGACCUGUUACAUAACUGUUCCAUAUUUAUUCUGCCAGGAGUCUGUUCUGAGGCUCUUCUCAUCAUCCGUCCUGCGCAGCCGUGAUGAAUAUAUUUGCCACUUUCAGUCUGGCCAAUUACUGAAGCAUCUCAUUAUCUCUUAUCCACUCUUACCUACUUGUUGCUUAGGUUUUGUGGGUAGUUUAUAGGAAGCGAGGCCACACUGAGCAUUUGGCUGGCUGGGAAUGUCAAUUCUGUUUUGUUUGAUGUAUGAUGGGAUUAGCUAGAGUGAGGUCAUCGUGCGAAGUCACCAGAGACAAGAACCACACAAGCACUGAUUCCCUCAGCUCUGUGAGGAACACCACCACAUGUAUGUCCUAUUCGCACUUGAGCCUCCUCUUGCAUGGCUUUCCAAGUUACCACGCUGGCAUCCAUUGUGCUAGCCUUCACCACAGUGACGGUGACCAUCACCAUGCUGGGCUUCACCAGGCUUCUUCACCAUGCUCUGUUUUCUAAUGUUCUACCUCUAACACUACAUUGAACAGCUUUCCGUUCUUCAAUACUGCUCCUAUAAAAAGCUCUCAGAG
Molecule: long non-coding RNA, 2041 nt
Filed under: Mus musculus (house mouse)
Lineage: Eukaryota; Metazoa; Chordata; Mammalia; Rodentia; Muridae
Description: predicted gene, 50415
Source: RNAcentral